GAGAGAGAGAGAGAGAGAAAGAAAUUGAAGCACCCUAAAUUGCAAAUGUAUUUCAUAAAAGCAGCAUUUCAAUGACUCUCUUUAUUUGCAUAGUCUUUGCCCAAAGCAUCUUUUUCAAAUGGAUGGUUUUCAAGAUUUCAAUUUACAGGCCAUUUGCAGCAAUAAAAGAUAACAUGCCGCAAGACAAUGUGAGAGAAUUGAAGCCAUCACAGCUAUUAGUUGAUUGAUAUUACUCCUUAUAUUCAACAUACUCGAAAGAAAGAUUUAAUCAAGAGAUCUUACAUAACAAAAUCUUGAUUAUCUGAAGGAAAAAAGUGAUAUCAAAUGAUCAAUAUUUCUGCUAUCAGAAAAUACCCCCUCGGUCCCCAAGAAAAUAGGCUUAUUUAGCUUCUUCCUAAUAUACCUCCGUUGACAUUGCUCCAUUAAAAAUCAAAUAACUUAUGUUACUAAAUUAUUUUUGAAAUUAAUAGAUUUUACAUUUUCAAUGCUUAUUAAAUAAGGGCAUAUUAAUUGUUAUGGAAAGGCAAUCACUAUAUUAUUUCUCUGUA
This 548-nucleotide unclassified non-coding RNA is filed under the name Hevea brasiliensis (rubber tree). Lineage: Eukaryota; Viridiplantae; Streptophyta; Magnoliopsida; Malpighiales; Euphorbiaceae. The record is from RNAcentral.